ACAUUGACGAGUGUGAGAAUGACUACUACAAUGGGGGCUGUGUCCACGAGUGCAUCAACAUCCCGGGGAACUACAGGUGCACCUGCUUUGAUGGCUUCAUGCUGGCACACGAUGGACACAACUGCCUGGAGACAGGGUCUUGCUAUAUUGCCCAGGCCUCUGGAACUCCUGGGCUCAGGUGAUCUGCCCACCUCGACCUCCCAAAGUGCUGGGAUUACAGGCUUGACCCACCACCUUACCUCAGGCAUUACUUCAGGAAUGCUUCACAAAAGUGGAACCACUGGAUCAAACGAUCAUUUGGUUUUUUAUGGCUUUCUAAAAGGGCUCAGCAAACCUUCUGUUGUGCCAGCUGGUUUGUGGGUGUGUGGUAGAGGACACUGGGUGUCCUGAGUGCUCUGGAACUUUCCCUCUUAAUGGGGUGUUAGCCUUAGACCUGCCUGCCUGUUUUUGUCCAACCCAUGUUGGAUGUCAGAUAAGUUUGUUGUGGAAAACAUCUGUGAGCAUGUAAUUACACCCCGAAUAAAUACCCA
RNAcentral lists this small RNA (530 nucleotides) under Pan troglodytes (chimpanzee). RNAcentral describes it as "processed transcript". The record is from RNAcentral. Lineage: Eukaryota; Metazoa; Chordata; Mammalia; Primates; Hominidae.